RNAcentral lists this ribosomal RNA (330 nucleotides) under uncultured eukaryote. RNAcentral's name for it is "partial 18S ribosomal RNA". It matches the Rfam family "Eukaryotic small subunit ribosomal RNA", at positions 1470 to 1796 of the family's 1831-position model. The record is from RNAcentral.
CCCUUAGAUGUUCUGGGCCGCACGCGCGCUACACUGAUGCAUUCAACGAGUCUAAAACCUGGUCUGAUAGGGCUGGGUAAUCUUUUGAAUGUGCAUCGUGAUUGGGAUAGAUGAUUGCAAUUCUUCAUCUUCAACGAGGAAUGCCUAGUAAACGCAAGUCAUCAGCUUGCAUUGAUUACGUCCCUGCCCUUUGUACACACCGCCCGUCGCUCCUACCGAUUGAAUGUUCCGAUGAAUACCAUUGACUGAGAGUAUGAAUGGGUUCGCCUAUUUCUGCUUCUCGGGAAGUGGAGUAAAUCUUAACAUUUAGAGGAAGGAGAAGUCGUAACA